GAUGUGUGGUUAAAAUGAUUAUAAAUCCAUGCGCUGUUUAACACUGCACUUAUUUAUAACUUUUCUUCUUGCAGUUCCUGUUACUGUAAAAAUGAAUCCACCAGCAGCAAAAGAUAUGUUCGUGUCACAAACAGUAAUAAUUCAGUGUGUAAUUACCAGCUACAGGAAGGAGGUCAUGAAUGAAACUGCGUCAUGGAUCAUUAAAGGCAAGAAACCAGAAGAUUCAAAAAUUAAACAUGGAGAGAUUCAGCAGAGAGACCAACAAUUUACCAGGAUCAGCAGUUUGAACAUUAGUAAAAAUGAAUGGAUUUUGGGUGAUGAAGUGGUUUGCUCCUUUGGGGACAAAUCUGACAAAAUCCAGUUCCAGGAGAGAAAGGAACCUUCUGUUCUCAUUUACACAUCCAAUUCGCAUGAAAAUAAAAUCACCCUGGUGUGUGAGGUCAGCAGUAAUGAUCCAGCUGAUGUCUACAUGCAGUGGACAGUAAAUCAUUUUCAAUCAAGAGAAUCAGACAACACAGCGUUCAUCCAGAAAAGUGACGGUUCUGCAUUUAUUCUCAGUUAUUUAACUGUUUCCAGUGUUGAGUACAGCAGCAGUUCCAGCUUUGACUGCGAUGUCUAUCACAGUUACAUGAAGACCAGUCAUCCCACCAAAGUGACCCUAACAACCAAAAGUAAAUAUAUAUGCCCUGAAUGUCCUGUAUGUGAUUAAUUACGUUUGCUUCUGUUUACCUGAA
Non-coding RNA from Trichomycterus rosablanca, 734 nucleotides. Lineage: Eukaryota; Metazoa; Chordata; Actinopteri; Siluriformes; Trichomycteridae. The record is from the annotation of a RefSeq genome assembly.